AAAUUGAAGAGUUUGAUCAUGGCUCAGAUUGAACGCUGGCGGCAGGCCUAACACAUGCAAGUCGAACGGUAACAGGAAGCAGCUUGCUGUUUCGCUGACGAGUGGCGGACGGGUGAGUAAUGUCUGGGAAACUGCCUGAUGGAGGGGGAUAACUACUGGAAACGGUAGCUAAUACCGCAUAACGUCGCAAGACCAAAGAGGGGGACCUUCGGGCCUCUUGCCAUCGGAUGUGCCCAGA
This 238-nucleotide ribosomal RNA is filed under the name Escherichia coli. RNAcentral describes it as "partial 16S ribosomal RNA". It matches the Rfam family "Bacterial small subunit ribosomal RNA", at positions 1 to 235 of the family's 1533-position model. The record is from RNAcentral. RNAcentral also lists the same sequence under 1 other name. Lineage: Bacteria; Pseudomonadati; Pseudomonadota; Gammaproteobacteria; Enterobacterales; Enterobacteriaceae.